This 567-nucleotide ribosomal RNA is filed under the name uncultured bacterium. RNAcentral describes it as "partial 16S ribosomal RNA". It matches the Rfam family "Bacterial small subunit ribosomal RNA", at positions 355 to 922 of the family's 1533-position model. The record is from RNAcentral.
UAAGGAAUAUUGGUCAAUGGGCGGAAGCCUGAACCAGCCAUGCCGCGUGCAGGAUGACUGCCCUAUGGGUUGUAAACUGCUUUUGUCCAGGAAUAAACCUAGAUACGUGUAUCUAGCUGAAUGUACUGGAAGAAUAAGGAUCGGCUAACUCCGUGCCAGCAGCCGCGGUAAUACGGAGGAUCCGAGCGUUAUCCGGAUUUAUUGGGUUUAAAGGGUGCGUAGGCGGCCUAUUAAGUCAGGGGUGAAAUACGGUGGCUCAACCAUCGCAGUGCCUUUGAUACUGAUGGGCUUGAAUCCAUUUGAAGUGGGCGGAAUAAGACAAGUAGCGGUGAAAUGCAUAGAUAUGUCUUAGAACUCCGAUUGCGAAGGCAGCUCACUAAGCUGGUAUUGACGCUGAUGCACGAAAGCGUGGGGAUCGAACAGGAUUAGAUACCCUGGUAGUCCACGCCCUAAACGAUGAUAACUCGAUGUUGGCGAUAGACAGCCAGCGUCCAAGCGAAAGCGUUAAGUUAUCCACCUGGGGAGUACGCCCGCAAGGGUGAAACUCAAAGGAAUUGACGGGGUCAU